CCUACGAGAUGGGGAUAACUAUUAGAAAUAGUAGCUAAUACCGAAUAAAGUCAAUUGAGUUGUCAAUUGAUGAAAGGAAGCCUUUAAAGCUUCGCUUGUAGAUGAGUCUGCGUCUUAUUAGCUAGUUGGUAGGGUAAGGGCCUACCAAGGCUAUGAUAAGUAACCGGCCUGAGAGGGUGAUCGGUCACACUGGAACUGAGAUACGGUCCAGACUCCUACGGGAGGCAGCAGCUAAGAAUCUUCCGCAAUGGGCGAAAGCCUGACGGAGCGACACUGCGUGAACGAAGAAGGUCGAAAGAUUGUAAAGUUCUUUUAUAAAUGAGGAAUAAA
Molecule: ribosomal RNA, 330 nt
Filed under: uncultured Borrelia sp.
Lineage: Bacteria; Pseudomonadati; Spirochaetota; Spirochaetia; Spirochaetales; Borreliaceae
Description: bacterial SSU rRNA
Rfam family: Bacterial small subunit ribosomal RNA
Source: RNAcentral